UCUGCAUAAAUAUACUAUAUUUUUGUAGUCUAAAUUGCAAAGAGAAGGAACACAGGUGAAAAUUUCCACAUG
Molecule: non-coding RNA, 72 nt
Organism: Pangasianodon gigas (Mekong giant catfish)
Lineage: Eukaryota; Metazoa; Chordata; Actinopteri; Siluriformes; Pangasiidae
Source: the annotation of a GenBank genome assembly